UCUGAAUUUCCACCCUUCAUUCGAUUACCAGGUCUUUUAUUAGAUAAUUGGAACUAAACGUUAAAAUCUUCUGAUGGCUCCAGGUGUCCCUUGGCGUGCAGCUACAUCACUCCAGGCUCUGCCUCCGUCUUCACGUGGCCUUUUCCUCUCUGCAUCUUCUCUUCUUUUAUAAGGACACUUAUCAUUGGAUUUAUGGCCCAUCCUAAUCCAGGAUGGCCUCCCUGGCUCCUGGCACAAAGCUCAUAAAACCCUUGGAAUUUCCUGAGUGAUAGGGGUGAGAAGAGUGUCUUCUGUUAUUCCUAACAAGCUGCUUUCAAUCACACCAGAGUUUAUGCUAAUGAGUUGGCUCUUAGAGGAUGGGGGCUGGUUGCCAGGGGAACCAACCACUUGAUGAGAGGGUUAGAAAUUUCAGCCCUGCCCCAGACCUCUAGGGAGGGAUGAGGGGCUGGAGAUGGAGUUAAUCACCAAUGGCCAAUGAUUUAACCAACCAUACCUAAUGAAACCGCCAUAAAUACCACUAAAUGAAGGCGUUCUGAGAGCUUCCAGGUUCAGCGCGGCGAGGGGAAGCUACUGCCUUUGGUCAGCUACGGCAAAAUGCUCUACAUUUGUCUCCAUCAGCCCGCCAGACCCCGGAUCUGAGAAGCUUGUCAACUAGGUCCAGAUUUUAGUUCACAGGAAGCCCAGGGGUAAGGCAGACUUCAGGUGAGAGAAUGAAGUCACUCUGUGAGGUCAUGGAGCAUCCAGGAGUUUUCCUUUUCCCUGCUCUGCAAAAAGAAGCUGGACUUGGUUAUCUUCAGCUAGGUGGCAAAAUUUCUAUGCAGCUCUGGGCAUGGCAUCAGGACAGACAAAUCUGAACUGUCUCUGUAGAGGCAGAGAGACCAUCUCUUCCUGUGCAUCUCUGCUAGUUAGGAGGACAUCCUCCCAGGAGCCUUGAAGAAGCCAUCCCUCCUCAUCUUACUAGCAAGAAUCAGAUUGCCUGCCCAAUUCUUGAGUUGGAUACUAGCAAGAUUACAGGCAUUGCCUCUGGUCCAAUCAGAUACUCCAAGGAGCUAAAGGUGGCAUCAGCUUUUCCACGGACAUUGUGCUUCAUUGGGGAAAGAUUUGGGGGACAAAGAUGUGAAGAAAAUCACACGUCUAAUUGAAGUAUAAAUGAGGAAAUACAUUCUGAGAGGCAAAUGCUGGUUUUCUAACACACAUGUCUAGGAGGGUUUGUUUGCUAUUGCUUCUGUUGUUGAUAGAACAACAUUUCUGAGAGUAUAAGAUUAUGAAUGCCUGCCUUUGGGUCAGAAAAAAAACUAUCAUAAAGUUUAUGCAUUCUUUGGAUUUGAUUUUCAUUGCUGAACAUGAUAGAAUUCAAAGACGACAGUGCUCUUCAUACAGCAAAGUUCUUGUUGGAGGAAGAAUGGAAAUUACAAUGCUGAAAUAAUACCUGACGACUUCCCAUCCUGAAAAUGCCUCGGACAUUGUAAUUAUCUCAUAAAAGAUACUGACUCAAGAUUUCAAAAGUCCCUACACAGAAUCCUCAGUUAUGCAAAGCUUGUCAAAGACAGUCCAUUUGAUUUGAGGAUGAAUAAAAUAAAGCACUAUAAAUUCAAGUGAAAGAGUCUCAGGGCAUUCCUGCUUUCUCCAAUCCAAACCUACCGAUGUUUAAAAUGUAAACUUGGAGUUCUGAUUCCAUUUGCACUGUAGGACUGGGAAGAACUCCUGAGCAUGCUCACACACAUCAACCAAACAAAAUACAUUGGGUCAUGGCAGAGGGGUGAUCCUUUCCAGGAAAUCUUAGUAAUAUUUUUAGAUGUAUGACAACUUAAAUGGGCUAUUCUGAACUAAUUACUAAGGCACAUGUAAAUCUAGUUUUUAAUAACUUUUCUUUACACUAAAUAUCUUUGUUUGACUUUACCCACUCAUAGACAAAGACACUCCUUUUAGCAAAAUAGUUAAUUAAAUUACCAUAAUUCAUUAGGAGUGACAAAACUUGGGAGAGAAGCUUCCCUGAAAGUUUUGAUGGAAUGAGCAAGAGAAGUUUCAUUUUUAUUCCUGUUUAUGUACCUGUCAAAUUCCCUUCAGGAACCACUGCUUACUCUAUGCCUCCUCAAUCAAUUCUUUUGCUUCUUAAUUCUUCAAUUCCCAUCUGCCCACAACGGGAAUAGCAUCCAAUUUACAAUGGAUUUAUUACCUCUCUGGUAAUUGUGGGGCCCUCCCUGUAGAGGUGCCUUACAUUACUCCAGGAAACCUCAAUAAUGGAGUACAUACUAUAUUUCCUUGAAUCUAAGAAAACUUGGUUGU
Equus caballus (horse) is the source of this 2286-nucleotide long non-coding RNA. Lineage: Eukaryota; Metazoa; Chordata; Mammalia; Perissodactyla; Equidae. The record is from Ensembl.